This is a long non-coding RNA of Aethalodelphis obliquidens (Pacific white-sided dolphin), 5062 nucleotides long. RefSeq lists it as uncharacterized. Lineage: Eukaryota; Metazoa; Chordata; Mammalia; Artiodactyla; Delphinidae. The record is from RefSeq and is a predicted model, not a curated record. The transcript has 4 exons.
CGCCGAGGGGCUGAGUUUGGGUUGUGGGGAGACGGGGGAUCCCUCUUCUUCCCCCGGGGGUCCCUGUGAUGGGGACCGCCCUGGGCCCAGCAGUAGGGUCUUGCCCUGCUCGGUCGGUCGGUCUGGGCGGGGAGGCCCGAAGUGGGGAGGCCGCUGGACUCGCUGUUUUCUGUCAGCUGGGAUGGAAGAGUUGUAGGGCCAGGGGGCAUCGGGAGUGGGGCCCGGGUGCUCUGGGCCAAGGGCCGCUUUGCUUGUGGGUGGGGGUGUGAUUGCUUAGGAUAAGAAGAUGUUGCAUGUGCAGAAAAGGAGGCACGGGUUUUGUCAGGGGAUGGACACAGUUCCUGUCUGGGAUUUAAAAAAAAAAAAAAAAGGCAGCGCUCAGAGUAGGGGGCCCACUUUGGGGAAAAGGAUGAGAAGCCGUAAACUGGAAGCCAGGAUUCUCCAGGAAGAGCCCUUUCUGGCCGUUCGCUAUGGCCCCGCCACAGGCCCAACCUUUCCUGCCUGCUAAGGGACUCCGGAGCGAAAUGAGCAGCGGCCACAGAGCCGAGUGACUGAGGCUUCCGAGGGAGGCUCCGUGGUCUCAAAACUGGACUCCACAACACACUAUCCCUCAAGGACCGCCCACCCCGAAGGGCUCAGGCCAGGCUCUGAUGGGAGAGCUUGUCCACUGCCCUGAGGCUUAGAGGAGGGAGGAGGGUGCCGGUGGAAGAGUCCCUCAUCCCAGCCCUGUGCGCCAGCCCCAACUGCUCCCCUUUUGGACCCCUCCAUUCCCAUACCUCCGCCCCUUAGCAGCGCAGACCAGCGGCUCCCAAACUUGAGCGUGCACCAGCAUCACGUGGGGGGCUUGUUAAAACACAGGUUUUAACCUCACCGCCAGCGUUCCUAAUUCAAUACGUCGGGGGUGGUUCUUAGCCCUGGCUAAAGUUAGAAUCACCUGGGGAGUGUUUUGAACACUAUUGAUCUCUAUACACAACCCAAACCAAUUAAGUCAGCUUCCCUGGGAGCCGGGGGGUGAGUGCUUUCCAAAGGAUGGCAUUCUAAGAGCUCCUCCACUUUUGUUUGUUUCUUAUUUCUGCAACCUUUCUGAUUGUUUACGAAUCUCUCACUAAUUACUGACUGUGGGCCUCUAAGGGCAGCGUUGUAUUUUACUCUAGUUAGUACCAGGUCAGGGCACCUGACUCAUAGGACAGUCCAGUUGGCAGCAUUUGCUUUGGGGCUGGCAUGGAUAGUUCAGUGAGAAGUGGGACAAGGCCCACCAGACCUCUGAGAAGGGUGGGAAAACAUGAGGUGUGGGGGGCUGGGGGAAAGGUAGGGGAGUAGAGAAGAAGGAGAAGAUAUGGGGGAGAGGGCUGUUUAUCAACCCCUGAUUUUCCACAGCUAAUUUCACACUUCAGGGAUUAUUGUUUUAAUCCCUAGUGGGCUUCUCCUGUCACUCAGCAGAGCUCACUCUGUGUCCCUGUAUGAUCCAGCUGUGGACUGGGAGAAUGUAAACUUAUUUUCCUUCUCAGGGAGAAAAUAUCUCACACAUACAACUCAGAACACUGUGUUACUUUAUCUAAAAAGUGUAUACCAAAGCCAAGCAUAUCUUAAACCAGUGACUUUCAUGAUUUUUAUUGUACAUCUUCACAACAAAUCUUUGUUGAAUCCUAAUAUGUGAGAGAAAAGGUGUACAUGUUUUCAUCAGGCUUUAAUUGUUCUGAAGAAAUGCCUUUGUCUAAGGCACCCCUGAAACACUCAUGGGCAGCCUUGGCGUUUCCCAGACCAAAUGAAGACCUCCUUAAGUUUUCCUGGUGUUUUAGGUUGUGCAUACCACUAUGCCAAGCUCUUUGUUAGAAUGAAUAACUCAGAGCUGACACUGCUCUUCCCCAAGGCACGGGGAACAAAUUUUACUUGUAGGUGUCUGCAGCUUCUGUACCUUGCAUAAGACAGCUUCUGCUGUCUUUGCUCAGGCUGCUAUAAUAAAUGCCUUAGACUGGGUGGCUUAAACAACAGACAUUUAUUUCUCACAGUUCUGGAGGCUGGGAAGUCUAAGAUAAAGGUGCCAGCAGAUUUGGUUCUUGGUGAGGGCCCUCUUCCUGGCUUGUAAAGGGCCACCUCUUGCUGUGUCCCCACAUGGUCUUUCCUCCAUACACACAUGUGGAAGGAGAAAGAGAGAGGAAGCAAACUUUUCGGUGUCUCUUUCCAUAAAGGGCACUAAUCCCAUCAUGGGAGCUCCACCCUCAGGACCUCAACUAAACCUAAUUAUCUCCCAAAGGCCCAGCUUCUUAAUACCAUCACAUUGGGGGUUAGGGUUUUAACAUGAAUUUAGUGGAGACGUUAACAUUCAGUUCAUAAUGUCUGCUAUUUGUUUUUUGUGCUUUCCUUCUCACUAUCAAAAAGUAGCCAAGAGAUGUGGCAUUUAGUAUUGUGUGAUCCACACUAUUUUUAUGCUUCUGUUAUAAAACAGAUAGGAGUUAGGAUUAUAUGGGUUAUGAGUAAAAUUUCUUCAGGAAUCCUUUAUAGCAGGUGACAGGAUCAUUCCUUUCUGCUAGCCAAGAGAGAAUGAGGCUCUCUCAGCUUUGAUAGGAACAGCAGACAUCUUAACAGAGAUUGGAGUUAGUCAGUGUGAUGUGUUGGAGGGUGCUUGGGGCAGGAUGGAGGAGGAUCAGCUCAAAUAAACCCUACAGAUGAAGAGUGGAGGUGGGGGCUGAGUCUCCUGAAGAAAAUCAAAACCCUGGUUCCAAAAGAAGGGGUGUAUUGGUCAGGUUUUGCUUGUAUAAUACUGUGUAACAAACAACCCCAACACUCACUGGCUUGCUUAAACAACAAAUGGGUCUUGGUUGGCGGGGUUCAUGUUUGCUUCACAUGUUUUUCUCAUUCUGGGACCCAAGAUGAAGGAACGGGCUCAAUAUGGGACACGUGGAUUUCUGGAAGGGCAGGAGCUCCAGAGAAACUGGUCAUCGAUAGGCCAGAGGUUGGCAAACUGCAGGCCCACCGCCUGUUUCUAUGACUUUCAAGCAUUACAAAGGAAAGGAGAUUAAAACACAGCGAUAAGGUGUCACAACUCAGAAAACUGUGAGUCACUGCUGUCAUUUCCAGGAUGCAUACAACUGAGAAACUGUCCUGACCAGCUACUGGUCAAAAUCAUUUCCUACAUAAUAGAAAUCUGACUUGUCCAGAAAGGUACAAAUGGUCUUGGGCCUUUUCUCUUUCAGUGAUGCCCAGAGUGCCUGUGUAAACAGCUGCUUUGGAUUUUAAAUGUGUAGAUCAAGAAACAGGGCACUUUAGCUCUUGUUUUGAUCCUAGAAGGUGUUGGGCAAGACUUUGAAGGAAACUGCAGUCUUUCUUUUCCCACAGCAUCACAGUCACAGAAACCCAGGCAAUGCCCCAUGGGCAGGAGGUCGUGCUGUGCUUUAAUGGCAAAGAUGGGCAAGGGGUGGUUUGGGGACUUUCAAGACCAACUCCUUGAUGGUGGGAAAAUCUAAUGAAUUGGAGGCUGAUUAUCACCUUUGAAAAAUCCUGAAACUCAAAUGAGAAUAGUGCUUUGAGAGCAGCAGAGGAAGGCCUGGGGCCAUGACCAGGCUUGCCAGAGAUGAUGGUAGCACAGGGGUCUUCAGAGGGAGUAGAAGCUCCCAGGCACAAGCAUAAUAAUUUAAUUCCUUCCCAAGGGUCUAUUUGCAUGGGGGGACAGGCCUUGUUUGGGGAGGCUGGAGCCAAGGGGGGAUUUUGAUGCAAAAUCAAAACAGAUGAAGUUGUUCCCUGCGAAAUUUAGGGGUAUUCUGAACCCAGGCACUCCUUCUGCCUGGGGUCCAGCACCAAGAUGAGAGGGCAUGCAACCUGACAUUCCUUGUUGCCAUGAGGAAGCCCCUGAACAAGGAAGCCAGAGAACAAAGAACAGGAGGGAAUAAGCCUUCAUGUUUCUGUCUGGAAGGAUCUCCAGUAGGAAAGGGAGAGGGAAGUUCUCUGACUGGCAAGUUUAGGAAUAGAAACUGCAACACUUGGCUCAGCUCCCACCUGCCCUCUCUUUUGGAACCCGCUUGUCCCAAGAACACACGGUCUCUGUUCUCCGUGCUGCGGGUGCCUGCAGUUUUCCAGCUCGGCCCAGGUAGGUAAGUUUAAUCCGGGGCCGAAAUGCCAGCCAGCCCACUGUGCCUGUAGAUGGGAGGAUCAUCCUCCAAUCUAGCUGUUAUCAGUAGUAAGACGAUUAUUUUCAUCUCCACCAGCCUGGCACCUGCUUUCUCUCUCAGCUGUUUCUGAAAUUGGACAGGAAAGAGAGGAGUAAUUUGGUGGGCUGGGGGUUUACCUAGCCAGCUCGUGUAGGACACCGCAAUUGGAAUUCUGAGAAAUAACCAGAGAAGACUGGGUUCGGGGCAGUGGAGGUGCAGUACUGAGUACCCCCAUGAGCAUGCAGAGGUUCAACAAUGUCAUUAGUGGGGUGUCCAUGGUCAUAGGGCCUCACGUGUACCCACAGGCUGAUGAGACUACAGAUGUAACCCAGGAUGGAGGAGAAGAGAAACGCCAUCUACAGGCUGCUGUCAGGAACCAGGCACUGUGGUCUGGAGAAAAUGUCGGCUGCAGCCCACCAAUCUGACUUCAUGAUCCAUGAAUGGUUUGAGAGGCACAGAUUGCUGAAAACUGAUGGGUAGUGGUGGGGCAGACCAUAGGACAGCGGGAUCACAGCAGCCAGAUGAGGUCGAGUAGGAGAAGCAGCUUCAUAUAAAAGGGAGAGCAUUUGUCUGUGUAUGUGUGAGUCAGCGCCCUUCCGAACAUCCCCCUACACUUUCGCAUUGUCUGUCAUCCCACCAAGCACAUUCCCACCUCUGUCACGGAGCUAUCUUCCCCAAAUGCAAUAUUUAAAAGACACUUCUGAACGUCUUAGCUUUGUUUAUCACUGUCCUGAUUUAUCAGCCCACCAGCCAACGUAUUUCUUGAGGAACCUGCACUGUGUCUGUAGCCAGCUGCUGUACAGUUGGCCCUCAGUGUCUGUGGGUUCUGCAUCUGCAGAUUCAACCAAACACAGAUUGAAAAUAGUUGGGGGAAAAAAAUUCCAGAAAGUUCAAAAAAGCAAAACUUGAAUUUGCUG